GAUGAACGCUGGCGGCGUGCUUAACACAUGCAAGUCGAACGAUGAAGCCCAGCUUGCUGGGUGGAUUAGUGGCGAACGGGUGAGUAACACGUGAGUAACCUGCCCUUAACUCUGGGAUACGCCUGGGAAACUGGGUCUAAUACCGGUAAGGAGCGUCCACCGCAUGGUGGGUGUUGGAAAGAUUUCUCGGUUUUGGAUGGACUCGCGGCCUAUCAGCUUGUUGGUGAGGUAAUGGUUCACCAAGGCGACGACGGGUAGCCGGCCUGAGAGGGUGACCGGCCACACUGGGACUGAGACACGGCCCAGACUCCUACGGGAGGCAGCAGUGGGGAAUAUUGCACAAUGGGCGCAAGCCUGAUGCAGCGACGCCGCGUGAGGGAUGACGGCCUUCGGGUUGUAAACCUCUUUCAGUAGGGAAGAAGCGAAAGUGACGGUACCUGCAGAAGAAGCACCGGCUAACUACGUG
This 466-nucleotide ribosomal RNA is filed under the name uncultured bacterium. RNAcentral's name for it is "partial 16S ribosomal RNA". It matches the Rfam family "Bacterial small subunit ribosomal RNA", at positions 28 to 507 of the family's 1533-position model. The record is from RNAcentral.